GUGCUAGCCUCGGCAGCAAAUAUACUAAAGUUGAAAUGAGACACAGAUUAGCAUGGUCCUGAGCAAGGAUGGCAUGCAAAUUCGUGAAGUGUUCCAUAUGAAA
Small nuclear RNA from Jaculus jaculus (lesser Egyptian jerboa), 103 nucleotides. The record is from Ensembl. Lineage: Eukaryota; Metazoa; Chordata; Mammalia; Rodentia; Dipodidae.